UGUGUCAACUUGCUUUGACUUGUCAGAUGGAGGGUGGAGAUACACCACACCUCUAGUUACUUUUUGGUGAGAGGUAAGGGGGAACUGUUGCUUUUUCAAAACUUGAAUAGCAUUGUUUGUGUAAUGAAUUUGCUGCAACGAAUUAUUGUGAAAUGGCAUGAACUGGUAGUUGCUUUAGGAUAGUAGCAGAAUUGAUAAUGUGUUAUGUGUGUUAGUGUAGUGUGACAUGAGAGUGAUAGUUUAACUAACUACAGUGUUUUUUGGUUCUAUCAUAGCAAAAGGUGAGUGUGUCACAGUUGAGUGCAAGUGUUCCUCUUGAGUGGUCUCACACUGUUUCUCAUAUUCCUUUUGCCGAUGAAUUUUGUUGCAUACUGGACAAACAUCAGGCAUUGGUGAGUGAGCUCAUGUUAUAUAUGGGGUCUUGCACGUUUUUCACAUUUCUUUUAUUUCAUUUAUUUCGUCAUAUGUACUGGAUGAACACAUCAGGAGGCAUGGGUGAGUUUUUGACAUUGGAGUGCUGGUGUUGUGUUGUCUCACAGUGUUUCUCAUAUCUAUCUUAUUUCAUCAUUCUGAAUCAAACUUUAGGCAACGGUGAGCGUCUGACAUUUAAGUAUUAUUUUAGUGCAGCCUUCAAAGGUUUUUUGUAUUUCUCUUGCUAUCAUUUGCUUUGUCGUUCAUUGGAUGAAUGUAAGGUGAGUAAGUUAAUUUAUAGUGUGCAAUGUAUGCAUGUUUCCUUAUGUGAAGAGUUGACUGUGGGCAAUAUUAUGGUCAGAUUUUGAGUGUGGUCGAUCUCAAUAAAUGCCAGUGGGUACACAGUGAUUUAAGCAUAUGUGCUUACAUGUAUGACACUUGCACAUGGCUUUUUUGAUGAAGCUGUGAUGUCAUUUUAGGGCCUUGAAACCAUCUUUUAUGUUACAAAAUUUGUAAACUCAACCUAGGAUGCUGCAUUUACAUGAGAGAUUAGUGCUAUUUGUCAUGCAUGAAAUUACAAUGAUUUAGUUUUGCAAUAUCUCAUUUUCUAUCAUUUUUCUGUAUUACAGUUAGUUAAAGGGCAAAUUCUUUCUGAUUUCGGUUGCUGGUUCUAUUGCUAUUCAUGAAAGAUAACAGUUUAGAUUUGGUAGUUGCAUCUUUGAUGUUAAUAGCAAAUCAAAGUUCUUUUCUGUUUUAAACUUCUGAUAAAGGACAAAUUCCGAGAGCUAUUAUCACUGAAUUUGUACCUGCAUAUUCAAGUACAUUUUCAUCAUGCUGUGAUUCAUGUGAUGAUGAAGUGGUAUCUUUCCUCAACAAGCAUUGGAGGAAUUGCUUUUUAAUAUCUUUACCUUGGAUCUUGAUUACAAUGGUAUGAGUGAGACAAUUGAGUUCAGUAUUGCUGUUUUGUGGUCUUACGCUGUUUCUCAUGUUUUUCUUGGUUCUAUGUAUUUGUUUCACCCUUACUGGAUGAUCAUCAGGAGGCAUUUGUGAGUCUUGAUAGUUGAGUGUUGGUGCAUGUUGUGUGGUCUCAUGCUGUUCCUUUUGUCUCUUUUUCUCAUUUAUUCCAUAACUUGGUGGAUGAAUAUCAGAUGG
Molecule: long non-coding RNA, 1563 nt
Organism: Corticium candelabrum
Lineage: Eukaryota; Metazoa; Porifera; Homoscleromorpha; Homosclerophorida; Plakinidae
Exons: 7
Source: RefSeq, a predicted model, not a curated record